RNAcentral lists this ribosomal RNA (497 nucleotides) under uncultured bacterium. RNAcentral describes it as "partial 16S ribosomal RNA". It matches the Rfam family "Bacterial small subunit ribosomal RNA", at positions 28 to 507 of the family's 1533-position model. The record is from RNAcentral.
GACGAACGCUGGCGGCGUGCCUAAUACAUGCAAGUAGAACGCUGAAGAGAGGAGCUUACUCUUCUUGGAUGAGUUGCGAACGGGUGAGUAACGCGUAGGUAACCUGCCUUGUAGCGGGGGAUAACUAUUGGAAACGAUAGCUAAUACCGCAUAACAAUGGAUGACACAUGUCAUUUAUUUGAAAGGGGCAAUUGCUCCACUACAAGAUGGACCUGCGUUGUAUUAGCUAGUAGGUGAGGUAAUGGCUCACCUAGGCGACGAUACAUAGCCGACCUGAGAGGGUGAUCGGCCACACUGGGACUGAGACACGGCCCAGACUCCUACGGGAGGCAGCAGUAGGGAAACUUCGGCAAUGGGGGCAACCCUUACCGAGCAACGCCGCGUGAGUGAAGAAGGUUUUCGGAUCGUAAAGCUCUGUUGUAAGUCAAGAACGGGUGUGAGAGUGGAAAGUUCACACUGUGACGGUAGCUUACCAGAAAGGAACGGCUAACUACGUA